This 425-nucleotide ribosomal RNA is filed under the name uncultured bacterium. RNAcentral's name for it is "partial 16S ribosomal RNA". It matches the Rfam family "Bacterial small subunit ribosomal RNA", at positions 354 to 796 of the family's 1533-position model. The record is from RNAcentral.
GUGGGGAAUCUUGCGCAAUGGGCGAAAGCCUGACGCAGCCAUGCCGCGUGAAUGAUGAAGGUCUUAGGAUUGUAAAAUUCUUUCACCGGGGACGAUAAUGACUGUAGCCGGAGAAGAAGCCCCGGCUAACUUCGUGCCAGCAGCCGCGGUAAUACGAAGGGGGCUAGCGUUGCUCGGAAUUACUGGGCGUAAAGGGAGCGUAGGCGGACAUUUAAGUCAGGGGUGAAAUCCCGAGGCUCAACCUCGGAACUGCCUUUGAUACUGGGUGUCUUGAGUGUGAGAGAGGUGAGUGGAACUCCGAGUGUAGAGGUGAAAUUCGUAGAUAUUCGGAAGAACACCAGUGGCGAAGGCGACUCACUGGCUCAUUACUGACGCUGAGGCUCGAAAGCGUGGGGAGCAAACAGGAUUAGAAACCCCUGUAGUCC